UGAAAAAUGCGCAACGCAGGAUGUUUUACUGCUCUAUUGGCGCCGAUGGCCAUUUGGCUAGUGUAACCGGUUCCACAACCCGAUUAAAUUAUUUUGUACCCUGUUUGCCCCGUUCCGUGUAAUUACAUUGUAUUUUUAUUGAUUUCCCUUCACUUGCCCACCCUUGGAAGGCAACAUACCCAUUCAUGUUAUUGAUCUUGCCUAAUGUUCAUUGCCUAUCGUUCAAGACGAGGGAAAGGAAGAUGAAAUGAUUGCGGAAAAUGUGCCCGAGAUUACUGAGCAAUCACAGCAAACAACCAGGGAUCGCAUCCAUCAGGAUACAACAAUGGUUCUUGCGGAUGACGUUGAAAGUCCAAAUAACAUUUUUUCUACUUGUUCUAUGGAGAGGCCAAUGAGCUGUCCAUUGCCCCACACAGUCUGGCCAGAGAACUAUCAAUAUCAGUACUGAAAACUUCAUUCCUAAGUUGGAUAAUAUCGUUUCAGAUUUCAGAGCGAAUCACAAAACGUACCUUUCAUUGGCGGCGCUUGUCGAAAUACAUUCUGAAUGGCACUGGUCGUUCAGGAACAAGGAAAAAAACCAUUGAUGCCACCAAUUCGAAUCCAUCGACUAGAGCGGAUGGGUCACUCCUGAUUAAGACGGUCAGGGUCAAAGACGUUCAGUUGUUGUCGUAUCAUUACCACGGAGAUAUUGUAUCCCCCGAUCGGACUAGCACAAAAUUUCACUUCUUACGAACAUCUCGGAGAAUUGAUGACAGCCUUUGAUGGCACAAAACCUUGUACCGCCAUUACUGAGCGAUCAUGAAUAGAAUUGGCAAAGUCCUCGUCGUCACGAUUGCCGUAUAGAAUGAACAGGGGUCGCUGACAGUAGAACUCAACAACACAGUCUUCACCCGUGAAUGGAUUCAGAUCCAAGUGUAAGGAACGGUCAGCCGCGUUCCUUACAUCCCUUUUCUCCCUUCCCACGCUUACAACCCUUUUCCCCUCUUCCGCCGAUAGGUCAUCUACCGAUGGCUCCGGCCUUCAAUCUCCCUUCUACCUGGCCUUCAAACGUGUGAAUUCUCCACAUAGGUGUUACAUUUACACACAAAAUAUUAAUUCCCUUUGCGACACCUAACCCUAAGUGACCUUGCUCCUUCGUCUAAAUGUUGCCCCUUUCCAGAUUGUCAGUCAGUCUCUUUUGCAGUCUUCUGCAGUCUUCAUCAGCAGUCAGUCAUGUGUCAGUCUGGUUUCAGUCACUUUUCGUUCAUCUUUGAGUCUAUUUGCAGUCUUCGUCAGUAAGUCUCUUUUAAUCGGACUCGUCUUGUUAACUGUUAUCUCGGUCUUUGGCAAAAACGUUGUGCAACAAUAAACCCAUCAUCAUCACACACAA
This is a long non-coding RNA of Daphnia magna, 1369 nucleotides long. RefSeq lists it as uncharacterized. The record is from RefSeq and is a predicted model, not a curated record. Lineage: Eukaryota; Metazoa; Arthropoda; Branchiopoda; Diplostraca; Daphniidae. The transcript has 3 exons.